Molecule: ribosomal RNA, 226 nt
Filed under: uncultured bacterium
Lineage: Bacteria
Description: partial 16S ribosomal RNA
Rfam family: Bacterial small subunit ribosomal RNA
Source: RNAcentral
UACAGAGGUCUCAAGCGUUGUUCGGAUUCAUUGGGCGUAAAGGGCGCGUAGGCGGCGGGGUAAGUCGGGCGUGAAAUCUCAGGGCUCAACCCUGAAAACUGCACUCGAUACUGCUCUGCUUGAGGACUGGAGAGGAGACUGGAAUUCACGGUGUAGCAGUGAAAUGCGUAGAUAUCGUGAGGAAGACCAGUGGCGAAGGCGGGUCUCUGGACAGUUCCUGACGCUG